This 441-nucleotide ribosomal RNA is filed under the name uncultured bacterium. RNAcentral describes it as "partial 16S ribosomal RNA". It matches the Rfam family "Bacterial small subunit ribosomal RNA", at positions 338 to 795 of the family's 1533-position model. The record is from RNAcentral.
CCUACGGGAGGCAGCAGUGGGGAAUAUUGCACAAUGGGCGAAACCCUGAUGCAGCAACGCCGCGUGAGGGAGGAAGUAUUUCGGUAUGUAAAGCUCUAUCAGCAGGGAAUAGAAAAGUAGGUACCUGAAAAAGAAGCCCCGGCUCACUACGUGCCAGCAGCCGCGGUAAUACGUAGGGGGCAAGCGUUAUCCGGAUUUACUGGGUGUAAAGGGAGCGUAGACGGAAAGGCAAGUCAGAGGUGAAAACCCAAGGCUCAACCCUGGGACUGCGUUUGAAACUGUCAAACUAGAGUACGGGAGAGGUAAGAGGAAUUCCGAGUGUAGCGGUGAAAUGCGUAGAUAGUCGGAGGAACACCAGUGGCGAAGGCGGCCUACUGGACAGAAACUGACGUUGAGGCUCGAAAGCGUGGGGAGCAAACAGGAUUAGAUACCCUUGUAGUC